UUCACGCCUCCGAUGGAGCUCAACAAGCUACUUACAUUGUUCACAUGGCGAAAUCUCAGAUGCCCUCGAGCUUCGACCACCACUCUCUCUGGUACGAUUCCUCACUCCGCUCAGUCUCAGAAUCCGCUGAAAUGAUCUACACCUACAACAAUGCGAUACAUGGAUUCGCCACUCGGCUUACUCCCGGAGAAGCCGACUCACUCAUGACCCAACCUGGUGUCAUCUCGGUUCAACAAGAGCAGAAGUACGAGUUACACACCACUCGAACUCCAUUAUUCCUUGGUCUCGACGGACAAAACGCAGGACUAUUCCCCGAAACCGGCGCCUCAAGCGACAUAGUCAUAGGAGUUCUGGACACCGGUAUUUGGCCAGAGAGCAAAAGCUUCUCUGAUGAAGGAUACGGUCCAAUUCCAUCUACAUGGAAAGGCGAAUGCCAGGCUGGGACUAACUUCACCGCUUCGCUGUGUAACCGCAAACUAAUCGGAGCUAGAUUCUUCUCUGACGGUUACGAAAGAGAUUAUGGAAAAAUCAACCAAGCCGACGAGUCGAAAUCGCCGAGAGACGACUUCGGUCAUGGAACACACACGGCGUCAACCGCGGCUGGAAACGUCGUGAAAGGAGCUAAUUAUUUAGGCUUUGCUAGUGGGACGGCUAGUGGGAUGGCUCAUCGCGUCCGAGUGUCUGUUUACAAAGUUUGUUGGAAAAGUGCUUGCGUGAGCUCAGAUAUUUUAGCUGGAAUGGAUAAAGCCAUCGAAGAUAAUGUCCACAUUAUGUCAUUAUCUAUCGGUGGUAAAUCGACAAGUUAUACAGGCGAAAUUUCCAUGGGUGCAUUCUCGGCCAUGGAAAGAGGGAUCUUUGUUUCCUGCUCUGCUGGUAAUGAUGGUCCCAGCCCAUCCAGCUUAUCAAACGCAGCUCCCUGGAUUACUACUGUUGGUGCUAGUAGUAUUGACCGUGAGUUUCCCGGGGUUGUGAUCCUCGGCAACGGAAAGAACUAUACUGGAGUUUCGUUGUUCAAUGGAAAUGCUCUUCCUGCUAAAUUGUUGCCGUUUGUUUAUGGAAAUUAUUGUAGCCGCGGAACACUAAAUCCUGAGAAGGUAAAGGGGAAGAUCGUGAUGUGCAUCAAAGAUGACAGUGUAAGGACUGAGAAAGGGGAGGUGGUGAAAGCUGCCGGUGGACUCGGAAUGAUUCUGGCAAAUGCAGCAGGGAGCGGAGAAGAAGUUCUGGCGGAUGCUCAUGUGUUACCUGUGACCGCCGUGGGACAGAAAGCCGGUGACAUUAUCCGUCGCUACGUCUUGACCGAUCCGAAUCCCACCGCUUCCAUUUUGAUCAGAGGAACGGUCGUGAACGUCCGGCCAUCUCCGAUGGUUGCCGCGUUUAGCUCGCGGGGACCUAAUACGAUAACGCCAAACAUUCUCAAACCGGAUUUGAUAGCUCCUGGAGUCAAUAUCCUCGCCGCAUGGACCGGAGCUCUGGGUCCCAGUGGACUCGGAACCACUUCCGAUACUCGUCGCGUGGAAUUCAACAUCAACUCGGGAACGUCCAUGUCUUGCCCUCACGUGAGCGGUUUAGCGGCUCUCCUCAAGUCUGUGCAUCCGGAAUGGAGCCCCGCGGCAAUUCGAUCGGCUCUCAUGACCACCGCUUACAAUACCUACAAAGACGGCAAACCGAUCCUCGACGUCGCGACGGGAAAACCUUCAACACCGUUCGAGCACGGUGCAGGACACGUGUCGCCCACGGCGGCCGUCAAUCCAGGACUCAUCUACGAUCUAACGACGGAGGAUUAUAUAGAUUUCAUCUGCGCAUCGAAUUAUAAUUCGUCGCUGAUCACAAUCAUAUCGAGAGGCAAUUACGCUUGUCCAAGAAAAACGCACCCCGCAGCUGAUCUAAACUAUCCGUCGUUCGCCGUUAACGUCAAAGGAUCCGGCACGUACAAGUACACCCGCACUGUCACAAACGUGGGAGGAGCUGGGUCAUACUCGGUUAAAGUAACGUCGGAGACAACGGCAGUCAAGAUUUCGGUUGAACCGGCGGUUUUGAAUUUCAAAGAAGUGAACGAGAAGAAAUCGUAUUCGGUAACGUUUACCGUUAUCUCAUCUAAGGCGCCAAUGUCUAACAGCUUCGGGAGCAUUGAAUGGUCAGAUGGGAAACACGUGGUGGCCAGUCCCGUGGCGAUUAGCUGGACAUAGGUGGUCCAUGAAGAAAUAUGGCGACUUGAGUAAGAAGAAAGCAACAGAUAUUGUAAUUUCUCAUGAGCCUUGGAUAUUUAAUGAAAAGUAAAAAAUUGGUAAGUACUAUUUUAGCUGGCUAGUGUGUUAUGAAUAUUCUUAUUUACUAGGCUGUGGACAUUGUAGAUACUGACAAUUAUUAGAUUAGUUUAUGAGAUAUGAAAUAUACUAGGCACUUGAUUCACGUUGCAUGAAUGUGAACCACUCAACGUAGGAAACUAUCACUAAUCAAAUACAUCUAGUGUAUCAUAACAAUGUGAUUACGAUGAGUUAAAAAAUAUGAAUCUAAUAACAUAGAGAAAAAGUAGAAACGACUCUAAGAGCUAAUCAUAACCAACUAGAGGUUUCAUUUCAAGAACCAACAAUAACAAGUUCAUAAACAUGAGGUAAUAAAAGAUAUCAAUCGAAAUAAAUACCUAUCUUCAAACAAACUAUAAAAAUGUAUGGCUUUUGUUAAAAGCAAACUCACCUCUUUCCAGUACACAAAUUUGCAGAGAAAAAUCCAAAAAAAAAAAGAAAAGGAUAAAACAAAUUCACGAAUAGUAACUCAAUUUUGAUCAACGUCCAAUUAAAACCCUGAUAUGUAAUUUUAUUUUCAGAAACCCAUCGUGGCAUUAUCACUCAGAGACUAAUACAAUUGGACCAACCUGCCAGCUUCUGAUGUUGCUAUAUUUUUAUUUUUUUUCUGUUUUAUAAAAAUAAAAACUAAUGUUAAAAGAGAGAAUGUAUCCCUGUAUUGUUAACUAUUGAUAUGAUUUAGUUAGUCUGAUCUGAUGUGAAGACAUGUUAAUUCAUACCAUACAAACCAAAGUCUCAAAUUGCCACCCACAUUAUUUGGAUCCCAACCGUCAAAAGCAUUGGUUAGUUGGUGUCUUCGACGAAACUCAUUGAGAUCUUUGCAAAGUAGUUCGUUUCUUUGCUUCUGUCUUGUGAUGAGCCUUAAAGAUAUUAAUAGACUCACAACUUACAUAAACCCUAAACCUGAUUUUAAAGUUGAGGAGGAUCAUGAACUUUAAAGAUAUUAAUAGACUCAUAACUUUGCUUCUGUUUUGUGAUAAGUUACAGCAGCCGGACUAGGAUCUUCCACCAAUGAACCGAUGCAUGGCUCACACUAAUUUGCUUCUCUUAUCUAAAACAAAUUUCGGGGAAAUAAAGCGAUGAGUAGAGCUUAUUGAUGAUUUCCUCACUCCGCUCAGUCUCAGAAUCCGCUGAAAUGAUCUACACCUACAACAAUGCGAUACAUGGAUUCGCCACUCGGCUUACUCCCGGAGAAGCCGACUCACUCAUGACCCAACCUGGUGUCAUCUCGGUUCAACAAGAGCAGAAGUACGAGUUACACACCACUCGAACUCCAUUAUUCCUUGGUCUCGACGGACAAAACGCAGGACUAUUCCCCGAAACCGGCGCCUCAAGCGACAUAGUCAUAGGAGU
RNAcentral lists this long non-coding RNA (3656 nucleotides) under Brassica napus (rape). RNAcentral's name for it is "long non-coding RNA (BNAP_LNC022569)". The record is from RNAcentral. Lineage: Eukaryota; Viridiplantae; Streptophyta; Magnoliopsida; Brassicales; Brassicaceae.